This is a long non-coding RNA of Nothoprocta perdicaria, 155 nucleotides long. RefSeq lists it as uncharacterized. The record is from RefSeq and is a predicted model, not a curated record. The transcript is spliced from 3 exons. NCBI's taxonomy places the organism in Eukaryota, Metazoa, Chordata, Aves, Tinamiformes, Tinamidae.
CGUCGCCGCCCUCGUCUACGGCGCCAGCGCCACCUUGCUGGGCGCCUGCGUGGACGGCGUCGUCCUGCAGGACAAGUUCGGUGACGCUCUGGGCGUCCCCGUCCUCGGUGUCCUCUCGUGGCCGGUGCCACCGGUGGCCGUGGCCGGGGCCUCCG